GACGAACGCUGGCGGCGUGCCUAAUACAUGCAAGUAGAACGCUGAAGAGAGGAGCUUGCUCUUCUUGGAAGAGUUGCGAACGGGUGAGUAACGCGUAGGUAACCUGCCUUGUAGCGGGGGAUAACUAUUGGAAACGAUAGCUAAUACCGCAUAACAAUGGGUGACCCAUGUCAUUCAUUUAAAAGGGGCAACUGCUCCACUACAAGAUGGACCUGCGUUGUAUUAGCUAGUAGGUGAGGUAACGGCUCACCUAGGCGACGAUACAUAGCCGACCUGAGAGGGUGAUCGGCCACACUGGGACUGAGACACGGCCCAGACUCCUACGGGAGGCAGCAGUAGGGAAUCUUCGGCAAUGGGGGCAACCCUGACCGAGCAACGCCGCGUGAGUGAAGAAGGUUUUCGGAUCGUAAAGCUCUGUUGUAAGUCAAGAACGAGUGUGAGAGUGGAAAGUUCACACUGUGACGGUAGCUUACCAGAAAGGGACGGCUAACUACGUGCCAGCAGCCGCGGUAAUACGUAGGUCCCGAGCGUUGUCCGGAUUUAUUGGGCGUAAAGCGAGCGCAGGCGGUUUGAUAAGUCUGAAGUUAAAGGCUGUGGCUCAACCAUAGUUUGCUUUGGAAACUGUCAAACUUGAGUGCAGAAGGGGAGAGUGGAAUUCCAUGUGUAGCGGUGAAAUGCGUAGAUAUAUGGAGGAAUACCGGUGGCGAAAGCGGCUCUCUGGUCUGUAACUGACGCUGAGGCUCGAAAGCGUGGGGAGCGAACAGG
This 765-nucleotide ribosomal RNA is filed under the name uncultured Streptococcus sp. RNAcentral's name for it is "bacterial SSU rRNA". It matches the Rfam family "Bacterial small subunit ribosomal RNA", at positions 28 to 776 of the family's 1533-position model. The record is from RNAcentral. Lineage: Bacteria; Bacillati; Bacillota; Bacilli; Lactobacillales; Streptococcaceae.